UACGAAGGGGGCUAGCGUUGCUCGGAAUCACUGGGCGUAAAGCGCGCGUAGGCGGCCUCUUAAGUCGGUGGUGAAAUCCUGGAGCUCAACUCCAGAACUGCCUUCGAUACUGAGAGGCUCGAGUCCGGGAGAGGUGAGUGGAACUGCGAGUGUAGAGGUGAAAUUCGUAGAUAUUCGCAAGAACACCAGUGGCGAAGGCGGCUCACUGGCCCGGUACUGACGCUGAGGUGCGAAAGCGUGGGGAGCAAACAGG
RNAcentral lists this ribosomal RNA (253 nucleotides) under uncultured bacterium. RNAcentral describes it as "partial 16S ribosomal RNA". It matches the Rfam family "Bacterial small subunit ribosomal RNA", at positions 524 to 776 of the family's 1533-position model. The record is from RNAcentral.